CCUACGGGUGGCAGCAGUGAGGAAUAUUGGUCAAUGGGCGCGAGCCUGAACCAGCCAAGUCGCGUGAAGGAUGACUGCCCUACGGGUUGUAAACUUCUUUUAUAAAGGAAUAAAGUGAGGCACGUGUGCCUUUUUGUAUGUACUUUAUGAAUAAGGAUCGGCUAACUCCGUGCCAGCUGCCGCGGUAAUACGGAAGAUCCGAGGUUUAUCCGGAUUUGUUGGGUUGUAAGGGAUCGUCGAUGGGGUGUUAAGUCAGUUGUGAAAGUUUGCGGCUCAACCGUAAAAUUGCAAUUGAUACUGGCAGUCUUGAGUACAGUUGAGGUAGGCGGAAUUCGUGGUGUAGCGGUGAAAUGCUUAGAUAUCACGAAGAACUCCGAUUGCGAAGGCAGCUUACUAAACUGCCACUGACAUUGAUGCUCGAAAGUGUGGGUAUCAAACAGGAUUAGAUACCCGUGUAGUC
RNAcentral lists this ribosomal RNA (460 nucleotides) under uncultured bacterium. RNAcentral's name for it is "partial 16S ribosomal RNA". It matches the Rfam family "Bacterial small subunit ribosomal RNA", at positions 338 to 795 of the family's 1533-position model. The record is from RNAcentral.